ACCAGACUCCUACGGGAGGCAGCAGUGGGGAAUAUUGCACAAUGGGCGCAAGACUGAUGCAGCAACGCCGCGUGAGCGAAGAAGGUCUUCGGAUCGUAAAGCUCUGUCCUUGAGGAAGAAGGAAGUGACGGUACUCAAGGAGGAAGCCCCGGCUAACUACGUGCCAGCAGCCGCGGUAAUACGGAGGGUGCGAGCGUUAAUCGGAAUUACUGGGCGUAAAGCGCUCGUAGGCGGUAUGUCAAGUCAAGGGUGAAAUCCCCUCGCUCAACGUGGGAACUGCCUUUGAAACUGGCAAACUGGAGUGUGUGAGAGGAUAGUGGAAUUCCAGGUGUAGGAGUGAAAUCCGUAGAUAUCUGGAGGAACAUCAGUGGCGAAGGCGACUAUCUGGCACAUAACUGACGCUGAGGAGCUAAAGCGUGGGUAGCAAACAGGAUUAGAUACCCGCGUAGC
This 450-nucleotide ribosomal RNA is filed under the name uncultured bacterium. Its description in RNAcentral is "bacterial SSU rRNA". It matches the Rfam family "Bacterial small subunit ribosomal RNA", at positions 330 to 794 of the family's 1533-position model. The record is from RNAcentral.